GUCCAUGCCGCGGGGAGUUCAGUUGUUGGUCUAUCAUUUAUCACGUUCUGUUUGCGCUUCCUAGUCAUGAUUUGUAUCGUUUCUUGGGUAAUGGCUUGGGUUGAACUAGCGAUAGGUUUAAGUAUCUCUGCAUCAUCCCAUUCUAUUAAUAGAAUGGGACAAUGCAGGGACUUGGUUUCUUGGGUAAUGGCUUGGGUUGAACUAGCGAUUGGUUUAAGUAUCUCUGCAUCGUCCCAUUCUAUUAAUAGAAUAGACUUAAUUAAACUUGUCCAUACUCUUUCAAGACGUAUGUCCAUGCCGCGGGAAGUUCGGUUGUCGGUCUAUCAUUUAUCACGUUCUGUUUGCGCUUCCUAGUCAUGAUUUGUAUCGUUUCUUGGGUAAUGGCUUGGGUUGAACUAGCAAUUGGUUUAAGUAUCUCUGCAUCAUCCCAUUCUAUUAAUAGAAUGGGGAUUGGUUUAAGUAUUUCUGCAUCGUCCCAUUCUAUUAUGAUGUCAUUAGUAUAGGCUUGUUCGGCUGGCGCU
This 521-nucleotide long non-coding RNA is filed under the name Androctonus crassicauda. Lineage: Eukaryota; Metazoa; Arthropoda; Arachnida; Scorpiones; Buthidae. The record is from RNAcentral.